Molecule: ribosomal RNA, 253 nt
Filed under: uncultured bacterium
Lineage: Bacteria
Description: partial 16S ribosomal RNA
Rfam family: Bacterial small subunit ribosomal RNA
Source: RNAcentral
UACGUAGGGGGCUAGCGUUGUCCGGAUUUAUUGGGCGUAAAGAGCGUGUAGGCGGCCAGGUAGGUCUGCUGUGAAAACUCGAGGCUUAACCUCGAGAUGUCGGCGGAAACCAUCUGGCUAGAGUCCGGAAGAGGAGAGUGGAAUUCCUGGUGUAGCGGUGAAAUGCGCAGAUAUCAGGAAGAACACCCGUGGCUAAGGCGGUUCUCUAGUACGGUACUGACGCUGAGAAGCGAAAGCAUGGGGAGCGAACAGG